AAGCUUAAAUGCCUUUAGUGGUACAUUUAAAGCUGCUUCUUAAAUUCGAUGGUCUUGUGUUUAGUAAAAUAGCUAAGAGAUUGUUACUUUGGGUAUAAAUCCUUCUAGAUAGAAUAGCAAAUCUGAGAAACAGAAGUGCACUGCACAGAUUGUACUGAUCUGAGGAAGCAUUUCCAAUAGCAAAGUGCCUUUGGAACUAGUGUCCAGGGCAUACUGAACUCAGAUUCCAUUCCUAUCCUCUGCCAUUAUCACUCUAAAGAAGGGGAGAUAGAUGGCUUGGAUUUGGAACCAUAAGGUGGCCUUAGCUUUAACACUUUAGUUCCCAUAGAAAAAGAAUUUUAAGGCAGAAAAUAGUUGAUAAGCUUUCAAAUUCUUUCAUUAAGUGACUUAUGCUCCUGUGUAAUAUUUCAUGUUUAAUAGCUUAUUUCCAUUUUGGGAUAGAAAAUAUUUCUAUUCUGUGGUCCUUCAUGUCUAUU
RNAcentral lists this long non-coding RNA (476 nucleotides) under Marmota monax (woodchuck). Lineage: Eukaryota; Metazoa; Chordata; Mammalia; Rodentia; Sciuridae. The record is from RNAcentral.